AAAAACCGAUUUUGACUCAUAUCAGUUGUGUUAGUUGCGAGAACAACACAAGCUGAUGUAGUAUGAUUAAGUACCAUCAUACUACAGCAGAUUGACUUGUAGCAACUAAUACCGUUGCUCGCUUGCCCAGCAUCAAGGCUCAGGCAGAGACUAGGGGGCAGCCCCUUUACCGAGAUCCUCCCAGCAGGUCAACCAGGCAUGCCAAAUGGUAUCCCCCAGCCUCCAUCCCAAAGUCCUGGACCACUGCUCUUCCCAGCAUCCCGGCAUGGCUGCACGCCUUCUUCUUAUAAAACAUCAUUGGGAUGUUGAUCAAUCCCUUCUUCUUUGUUUUCUUGGAUGGAGCACUGAUGAGUUGAGGCAGCAACAUGGAGGUGGUGAUCGUCAUAGAUCUGCUCCAAGGGAAGUGCAGGAAUAUCCAUUGAAUAUCUAGUGUACACCUAAACUAGGUUCCGAAUAGGCACUGUUGAUCAAUAGCACAUCCAAACCAUCUAGAUAUACCUGUUGUGUAGGAAGGCACAUGCAAGCAAGGAGGCAAUGGUGUGUGUGGCAGCCGUGUGGUGGCAGGCAAUGAGGCAAUGAGUUCUCUAGUGCCAGGCAAGGCAAUAGUUUCAAGGCUAGGCAAAAUGACCAAAUAAGUGAUUGCUGGUAACAAUUCAAAUGUGCUCACUUAACUUGAUAAUAGUCUUUCUUUGUCCCAAGCAUACAGCGAUAGUGCCUUUGCUUACAAGUUAGGCGUUUUGGGGUGGGAGAGGUUGUAUCAAGAAUUUCAGUACGUAGAAAAAAUCUACACCUUCACCCUAGCUGCUAGUCCACUCUCUUCUAGGUAGCAUAGAUUUUCUUCAGGUACUAAAAUUCUCGAGCCUCUCCUGCCCCAAGACACCCACUUUGUAGACAAAAACACCAUUGCUAUAUGCUUGGGACAAAGAAGAACCAUCAUCAAGUCGAAUGUGGAUUGUUGCCGACAAUCGCCUACUCAAUCUUUUUGCCCAACCCUAGAACCAUUGCCUUGUUGUUCUUCUUGCCUAAUGCCAAAGGGCUUAUCGCCUCCUUACCUACUGCUACACGCCACCAUCACCUCCUUGCCUUCACACGCCUUGCUCGAUGAACCUCUCCCACCUCUCUUCAUCAUACCCUAUCUAGCCCUAGUUCUUCAGCCGAAGAAGCAAGAGCCUUGGUAUAUCUAGA
Molecule: long non-coding RNA, 1185 nt
Filed under: Selaginella moellendorffii
Lineage: Eukaryota; Viridiplantae; Streptophyta; Lycopodiopsida; Selaginellales; Selaginellaceae
Description: long non-coding RNA (SMOE_LNC000379)
Source: RNAcentral